RNAcentral lists this ribosomal RNA (464 nucleotides) under uncultured bacterium. Its description in RNAcentral is "partial 16S ribosomal RNA". It matches the Rfam family "Bacterial small subunit ribosomal RNA", at positions 338 to 795 of the family's 1533-position model. The record is from RNAcentral.
CCUACGGGAGGCAGCAGUAGGGAAUCUUCGGCAAUGGGGGGAACCCUGACCGAGCAACGCCGCGUGAGGGAAGAAGGACUUCGUUCUGUAAACUUCUGUUAUAAAGGAAGAAAGACGGAUGGAGUAAAUGACAUCCGAUUGACGGUACUUUAUGAGAAAGCCACGGCUAACUACGUGCCAGCAGCCGCGGUAAUACGUAGGUGGCAAGCGUUAUCCGGAAUUAUUGGGCGUAAAGAGGUAGCAGGCGGCAGCAAAGGUCUGUGGUGAAAGACUGAAGCUUAACUUCAGUAGGCCAUGGAAACCGGGCAGCUAGAGUGCAGGAGAGGAUCGUGGAAGUCCAUGUGUAGCGGUGAAAUGCGUAGAUAUAUGGAGGAACACCAGUGGCGAAGGCGACGAUCUGGCCUGCAACUGACGCUCAGUCUCGAAAGCGUGGGGAGCAAACAGGAUUAGAUACCCUAGUAGUC